AUUUAAAUAGCUUAAGGUAAGAGUUUAAUAUUGAAGAUAUUACGGUAACAUAAAUUGUUUUUAAAUGA
Molecule: non-coding RNA, 68 nt
Organism: Vespa mandarinia (Asian giant hornet)
Lineage: Eukaryota; Metazoa; Arthropoda; Insecta; Hymenoptera; Vespidae
Source: the annotation of a RefSeq genome assembly